Molecule: ribosomal RNA, 253 nt
Filed under: uncultured bacterium
Lineage: Bacteria
Description: partial 16S ribosomal RNA
Rfam family: Bacterial small subunit ribosomal RNA
Source: RNAcentral
UACGAAGGUGACAAGCGUUGUUCGGAAUUAUUGGGCGUAAAGCGCACGUAGGCGGUUUUGUAAGUCGAUUGUGAAAACCCUGGGCUCAACCCGGGACCUGCAGUCGAAACUACAAGUCUUGAAUGCUCGAGAGGAUAGUGGAAUUCCAGGAGUAGAAGUGAAAUUCGUAGAUAUUCGGAAGAACACCAGUGGCGAAGGCGGCUCACUGGACUGGUAUUGACGCCGAGGCACGAAAGCGUGGGGAGCAAACAGG